GAGACCCCUGCCGUUAAUUGCUACCUUUACUCGUGAGAGUUAGGGGCUAGUUAACGGGACUGCUGCCGCUAAGGCGGAGGAAGGAGGGGGCCACGGCAGGUCAGUAUGCCCCGAAACCCUCGGGCCACACGCGGGCUGCAAUGGUAGGGACAAAGGGCUCCGACCUCGAAAGAGGAAGGCAAUCCUCAAACCCUACCUCAGUUGUGAUUGAGGGCUGCAACUCGCCCUCAUGAAUAUGGAAUCCCUAGUAAUCGCGCGUCACUACCGCGCGGUGAAUAC
Molecule: ribosomal RNA, 279 nt
Filed under: uncultured archaeon
Lineage: Archaea
Description: partial 16S rRNA
Rfam family: Archaeal small subunit ribosomal RNA
Source: RNAcentral